RNAcentral lists this long non-coding RNA (320 nucleotides) under Nicotiana benthamiana. RNAcentral describes it as "long non-coding RNA (NBEN_LNC002030)". Lineage: Eukaryota; Viridiplantae; Streptophyta; Magnoliopsida; Solanales; Solanaceae. The record is from RNAcentral.
UUCAUCAAAGUCCAGAGCAUGAAUUUCACAAAUUCAUCACAAAGGUAGAGAAAGGACGGCAUAGUAAUUGCAUCAUCCUCUCUUGUAAUAUCAUCACAGAGUACGUUAGUAUUUCUGUGAUGAUCAAGUUUUAUUGUUGUAAUUUUAAUUUUAUGUUAUUAAUAAAAAUUUAACAGUAGGCUCUGCCUAAUGUUUUGCCCCAAAAAAAAAAACAAAAGGAAGAGAUAUCUUUUGUCCUCACAAGUCAGGGUCAGUCGAUUUCCCUUUUCCGUCAAAAACCUUGUUCACCAGAAAACCCAACUCUUUCACCCCUGUCGAUU